AGUGCAGAGUCUCUCAGCCACAUCCCAGACCUACUGAAUCAGAAGCUGCAUCUUAACAAGACGCCCCGGUGACUGGCACAUACAUUAAAGUCUGAGAAGCCGGUCGACUCUUGGCAUAUAAAGAAUGCUCAUUAGAUGUUAGUGCUACUCCCCUGCCUACUAAACUCUCAGUUAGAGUCUGACUCAGGCAAGAGGAAAAACCCAAAAUGUAGAGAGGAGCUCCGAAGAUGGACACUUCAUUAAAUUUUAAAUGUGCGAGUUUUGAAGCCAAGGGAGCCUGGCCGAGUUCUUUCUGCACUCAGCCAUAUGGCUCCUCCACUGUGUUCAUAUGUAAAAUGGGAAUAAUAGUCACAGCACCGCAUAUGGUUGUUGUGGAGAUUAACUGAGACAAUAUUAGGGAAACACUCAGCACCGUGCUUGGCACCCAGCAGUUGUUGGAUAAACUCUUGCCACUCUUGCCGUUGCGAUACAUUGCCCCUGAACACAGACCUUAUUACCAUGCAACGAAAUAGACAACAUUCGCAUGGAUCUUUGCCAUUCGUAAAGCACUUUAGUUCGUCAUACCAUUUUAACUGACUCUCGCAACCCUUAAAGUAAGAUAGCAUGAAAGAGAUCAAUUUUCAGAGAGAAAAAAAAAAUAAAACUAGACUUGAGGGUGAAGUGAGUUGUCCAAGUUAACUAAGGUUUAAAUCUCUGGAGUCUGACACUAAAAUCUGUUGUCAGACAGAGCACCCAGCCAGUAACGAUGGAAAAUAUAAAAAAAAACUGAAUAAGACAACAUUAGACUCUAGAGAUGGUGGUGUCCACCCUUCCUAUUUUGCAGGAGGGAAAACCGAGGCCCACGGAGGCCCAUGGAGGGGAAGAGACACGACGCUCAGGGUCCCUCAGGCAGGGUGUCAGCCCUGGGGACAGAACCCAGUUUGCAAGGCUCUCUAUCCAGAGUCCUUCCCAAUGUCCAGACCCCUUUUCCUCCCCCAGCGGCCGGUCUCCACCCGCUGAGCCUGGGCUGCCUGGCAUCCCUGGGCUGGCUCCGCGGGCGGGCGGGUCUAGUGGUCAGGAAGCCUCCAGUGGCCACCUUCCCUUCCAGCCAAUCAGAGGAGGAGCUGGCGUUGCCAAGGGGAGGGCUGCAAGGUUGCUAGGACACGGUCUACAGGGAGACCUUUGCCGGAGUUGGUUCUGGCACCCGCCACAGUGGCUUUCUUGAGGGCUGGAAGAGAGACUCCAUCUCCACAGGGGAGAGACGCCUCCAGCUGCUCCCGCCAGCGGCCGCCGGGCGGACCCGUGUCAGAGGGAGGCUGUGCCGCCCGCCCGGCAUGCUGUCUGCUCGGCUCGGCGACUGAGGCUCCCGCGUCCCAGCUCUGCCAGGAAGCCAAGUGAUCGCUGUGGGAACCAAAUGAGAUGAUGUCUGUAAGGUGGCUGGCACAUAGCAAGUGCUCGAUGCAGGUUUGUGAGCAAGCCAGCAGAAGAGUGAGCGAGCGGCUCAGGACCCCUACGAACCAGAUCCUACGGGGCCAGAGACCAGCUGACACUGCAGUUUGAGGUCUCAAGGUCAUACGACGCUAAGAAUGUGGUGUGAAAAGUCUUGGAGAGCAAACCCCAUGGCUAGGCUGCCAGUCGGCCUGUCUGUAGGCCAGAAAAGGAGGUUGUCUCUCCAGCCCCUUGUGCAAGGGAUUUCUGCAGCUCAAGAGGUUUGAGCCUGGAAUCUAGGUUCGAAAGAAGAAACGCCUUGAGAACCAAGGUCACGUCAUGCUAACUGUUGGAUCCCGCCUUUCCACCAGCUAAAACCUGGCUCGGGGCAGCACGGGACAGGCCCGAGGGCCACAGUGAGUGAGUGCUGAGUGCAGUUGAGGGCAGUGGAGUGGAGUUGACUGGCUGGGCGUGGCCUGAGGAAAGCUGGCCUGAGUUGACUUGGCGUGAAUUGACUUGAGUUGUCUUUGAGUUCACUAAUGGACCCAACACUCAGAUCCACCAAAAGAGAAGCCUUCUGGAGCUUGCACUUAGCUCGGACCAGGUCUCAUAGCACAGGGGGGCCUCUGUAGGUGACGUUCUAGGGACAUUGCAGGGCCCUCCGAAGAUGGGGGCAUCUCGGAGGGGACCAGGGCCACAGUCGGGACUCAGGAAACAGAUGGCAGCCUUGGCUUGGUCAGAGGACACCACAAGGCUAAAUAACUGUCCCUUCGGCGGCAUUAAAACUUACCGGAAUUCUACCAGGAUCUUUCCAUACAUUUAAGGCAAAUAGGUGCCUCCCUUCCUGGCAUAGGAAGGCCUUUCUGGGGCCACUCUCUGCAGUGGGAGGGCGGUCACUGGGUUUUCGGGUCACACAGACCCAGCAGUGAGGAGAGAAGACAGGCGAGGCCAGGAGCCAGGCAGAGCUUCCUGCUGCAGAUGCGGCACCACUGUGACUGGUCCUCCCGUGGGAGUGAGGCUGUGACCCUCGCCCCAGGCAGUGUUUGCUGCAGUAAACAGGGACCCCCGGAGCCACAGCAGGGAAUCGGCGGGACCUCCAGCCUCACAGUGUGGGGGGAGCAGUUGGUAUGGUGGGGGCCCCAUCCCAGGCACUGCCCACCGCAGGUACAGCCAGGCACCUGCGGGAGGGAGUGAGAAGACCAGUGCGCCUCUGUGAGCAGGGGCUGCCCUCGCUGCACCUGGCCACACCUGGCCACACCUGUGUCUGUCCCCCACACGGGUCUGGGAUCCCUCGGUGGAAACAUCCUGUUCCUCAGAGUUCCGCUUUGCACCCUCUAAAACCUGGGUGCAGAUGAGAUGCCAGCGUUCGAUGAAUGAAUAAUUAGGUCAGAGUAAGGCUUAGGAAGCCAGUGGAAGAUUUCAAGAUGGCAAGAUGGAAAAUUUCAAGAUGGCAAGAUGGCCAAGGUCCAAGGUGUAGAUGCCCAGCCAAGAAAACUGCCCAGGCCAGAUUCUGGCCCUCCGGAGUUUGGCUCACAGGGAGCUUGGACUCAGUGGCGUCAGGGACAGGGUGGUGUGGCGUGGGUUUGCACUGAUGCUCCAUAGGGCCCCGGGCUGCUGGGAAGGAAGGGCAGGCCCUAAAGAGGCAGCUCUGGGUCCCCCAGUCCCCGUCUCAAUCACAAAAGCUCUGCUUUUAUCUGUUUCAUAUAUUGGAUUUCCACAUAUAUUUCCAUUUUUUAAGGAUUCUUUUGAUUUAAAAAUGCACUUGGAAAGCACUGUGUCGGAAGAGCCCAGGCAUGUGCAGGUAGACCGUCAGCCCCACCCUCCACGGUGGUGGGGGGGUUGGCAAUUGCCCCCCCCCCAAGUCCCACAUUCUCACCCCAACGCCCCUCCCAGGGACUCCUGGGGGUUCGCCAAGAUGGCCCGAGUGCGGGUGACUGGUGCUGUAUGAGGUGACUUUGGGCAGUAUACCGAUGAACGUUUAUUAUUUUAGCAGCUCACAACUGACACAUGCUAGAAACAUAUUGCCAGAACACCAGACUCUAUGAUUUAUGGAAAUAAUAUAUAGCAUUUCCUUUGAAAAUAAAAUUGUGUGCUUUUUUUUUAAAAAAAAAAAAAAAGGCAAAUCAAUUUAAAGAGAAACACUAAGUAAAUGGAUAGUACUUACAGGGCGGAAUCACGAAGUUGGCAUGCAAAUAACUGAAAUUUAAGGGGGGAUUGAAAUAAUCUAUGUAAAAUACCUAGCACAGUGCCUGUCACUGAGGAAGGGCUCAGAAAGUGAGUUCUUUUAUCCUUCUCUUUAUGGGAACUCCCCUGGCACAACC
Molecule: non-coding RNA, 3728 nt
Organism: Microcebus murinus (gray mouse lemur)
Lineage: Eukaryota; Metazoa; Chordata; Mammalia; Primates; Cheirogaleidae
Source: RefSeq, a predicted model, not a curated record